RNAcentral lists this ribosomal RNA (123 nucleotides) under Sinocyclocheilus anshuiensis. The record is from RNAcentral. Lineage: Eukaryota; Metazoa; Chordata; Actinopteri; Cypriniformes; Cyprinidae.
GCUUACGGCCAUACCACCCUGGGCACGUCCGAUCUUGUCUGAUCUCGGAAGCUAAGCAGGAUGGGGCCUGGUUAGUACUUUGAUGUUAGACUACUCUUGACAGAGAGCUUGGGGCUGUUUCAU